Bos grunniens (domestic yak) is the source of this 5126-nucleotide long non-coding RNA. The record is from Ensembl. Lineage: Eukaryota; Metazoa; Chordata; Mammalia; Artiodactyla; Bovidae.
GGGCGAUGAAGCCCACCGGCCCAAGGAAUGGACUUGGGAGACACCAAGUGCAGCGAGAAGUGAGGCUUUCGUGAUGGUCUUUGCAAGAUCAGCUGCCUGGUGGGGAGGCUCACCCAGAGUCGUUACAGCGGGGGUUUUUAUCCACUUGGCCCACAAGUCCCUCAUGAAUUUUUUUAUUGGGAUGCCACAGGGUUAGCCAUCUUCCUGAGAGGGUCACCUGGAUUUUUUUUUUUUUUUACUCUCCCCAAGUCCUUCUUCUCGUUUUUAUGUUUUGAGUUUACCAGCAGAAUGAAAAUCCUCAGCAUUUCAGUCUCUUCCCUUGUCUGGCUUUUCCUGCGCAAGGAUCCUGAAAGGCUGUUUGGUCAGCAGGCUGUCCCUCUAGGCUGGUUGUCCCUGAAAACGGAGCACUUGGUGUUUUUUGGUUUCACUUCAUAGCGGUGGCUGAUGCUGUGUUCUCCAGGGAAGAGCUGCCUCGAGGCUGCAUGCACCAGAGUGUCGCCUUCUGCGCUCUGGCCUCGGCGAGAAGGACGUGUGUGGCUCCAUCAGGGAAGCCAAGCGACCAGCACAGACCUGCCUCAACAUAUAGAACUCACGGUUCCCUGGCGGCUCAGCAGUAAAAGAAUCAGCCUGCAAUGAAGGAGACCUGGGUUUCGAUCCCUGGGUUGGGAAAAUCUCCUGGAGGAGGGCAUGGCAACCCACUCCAGUAUUCUUGCCUGGAGAAUCCCACGGAGAGAGGAGCUGGGCGUGCUGCAGUCCAUGGGGUCGUAAAGAGUUGGACACGACUGAGCAAUUUAACAUAAUACAAGCAUCCCCUGAGCCUUGUUAGGGCCAGAUCUUUUUUGUUUCUUUUACUUUAUUUACUUUUUUAUUUUUGGCUGGGUCUUGGGCUUCCUCUCGUUACAGCGGGUAGGGGCUGGGUCUUGGGCUUCCUCUAGGAUAGGUAGGGGCUGUCCUCUGGUUCUGCUGAGCAGGCUUCUGAUUGCAGAGGCCUCGCUUGUUACGGAGCACAGGUUUCUGUAGUUGUGUUUCUCGGGCCCUAGAGUGCGGGUCUCAGAAGCUGUGGCUCAGCACGGCCUUAGCAGCCCCGAGGCAUGUGGCAUCUUCCCAGACCAGGGAUCGAACCAGUGUCCCCUGCAUUCCAAGGCAGACUGCCAACCACUGGACCACCAGGGAAGCCCGCUUUGACAUUCCGAAUCUUGGCACAGUAGAAGUUUACAAGCCAGUCGUUGUGUGGAAUACCCCUCAGUUUACCUGGUAAUUUCCUCGUGAACCUGUGUGGGCUGCCCGUCUUCGCCAGAAGGGCAGCACAGAAAUAACGCUCUGUUCUUGUCAUUGUAUUUAGUUGUAGACCAUAGUGUUUUGAGCGUUUCCAUAGCUGCUGACGCUUUGACUAAAGUGAAGUGAAAGUCGGUCAGUCAUGUCUGACUCUGCAUACAGUCCAUGGGAUUCUCCAGGCCAGAACACUGGAGUGGGUAGCCUUUCCCUCCUCCAGGGGAUCUUCCCCACCCAGUGAUCAAACCCAGGUCUCACGCAUUGCAGGCGGAUUCUUUACCAGCUGAGCCACCAGGGAAGCCCAAGAAUGCUGGAAUGGAUAGCGUAUCCCUCCUCCAGCGGAUCUUCUCGACCCAGGAAUCGAAGCAGGGUCUCCUGCGUUACAGGUGGAUUCUUUACCAACUGAGCUAAGGUGGUCCUCAAUUUUAACACUUUAAGCUUUAAAGAAGGUGAGCUCUUUCCUUGAUGCUAGCUCAGCCGGCAACCAGGAUUAGAGUCUGUCAUGAAAUCACACUAUCAGAGUUUUGGAGAUGAGAAACAUCAGUUCCUUCCUUUGACAAGUACCCUAAUAUCUAGAAGGCAGAAUGAGUGCUUACUCUUGUCACGCACACGUCACCUUUAAUCUUGUCCAUGUUGCUUAUUAAAAAACCGAACAAAAGUUGAAUGUUUCUGAUUUAGUUUCACUUAAGGUUUGAAUCUUUUUUUUUCUGGAAAAUUCAUCAAGCUGAGGCGUUUUUGGAGUAAGAACUUCCUAAGUGCUCCUUUAGGAAAAUAGGAAAUCAUAAUUUGGAAACGGGGAUUUAAGGAAUUUUACUUUCCAGAAGACUAUUUCCUAUUCCAUGUCUAGUUUACUUGUGUUUCUGGACAGACCCUCAGAAUACAUAAUAUUUAAUUUAAAGAGUAUAUUUUCUCAUGUCUUAGGUUAUAUUUAUCGAGAAAGGAUAGAUGCUGAAAGUAAACCACGGUUUCUCGCCUUUAGCAUUAUGAUCAUUUAGGCUCGAUAAUUGUGUUUUUUUUUAAUUUACUUUUUAUUGGAUUUCAGUUGCUUUCCAAUGCUGUGUUAGUUGCUGCUGUCCAGCAGAGUGAAUCAGCUAUAUGUACACAUAUAUCCGCUCUUUUUUUUUGGAUCUCCUUCCCAUCGAGGCCACCCCAGGGCACUGAGUAGAUAGAGGUCCCUGAGCUGUACAGUGGGUUCUCAUCACUCACCUAUUUUGUGUGUGUGUGUCUGAGUCUGCAGCCCCAUGGACUGUAGCCCACCGGGCUUCUCGGUCCAUGGAUUUCCCAGGCGGGAAUACUGAAGGAAGUUGCCAUUUCCUACACAGGGGAUCUUCCUUGACCAGGGAUAUAUUUUAAACAUAGUAUCAAUAGCAUGUAUAUGUCAGUCCCAUCUCCCAUUUUAGCCUAUCACCAUCCCUCGCCACCUUGGUAUCCAUGUGUUUGUUCACUACAAUCUGCGUCUCUUAUUUCUUUGGCUGUGUGUCUAUAGUGGGUCCGGUCUGUAACUUACAGGCCAUUUAGCAGCUUCCAUGGCCCCUGCCCACUGGAUCCAGAUGUUCCUCCCAGUUCUGACAACCAGAAAUAGCUCCAAAUGCUGCAACUGUCCCUUUCUGGGUAACAGAAGCAUGGACAAAGAAACUUUGUUCUCUGCUUGAGAACUCCUGAAGCAGAUCAUAGAGUUGUUGCUGCUAAGUCGCUUCAGUCGCGUCCGACUCUGUGCGACCCCAUAGACGGCAGCCCACCAGGCUCCCCCGUCCCUGGGAUUCUCCAGGCAAGAACACUGGAGUGGGUUGCCAUUUCCUUCUCCAAUGAAUGAAAGUGAACAGUGAAAGUGAAGUCGCUCAGUCGUGCCAGACUCUUAGUGACCCCAUGGACUGCAGCCCACCGGGCUCCUCGAUCCAUGGGAUUUUCCAGGCAGGAGUAUUGGAGUGGGGUGCCAUUGCCUUCUCCGCAUAGAGUUGUUAUGUAAUUUUUAUACUUUGUCAUUUAGGAACUAUAGGUGGGGUUAUAGACUUAUAAUUCAAACUUUUAUUCAAGUAGAAUUUUCAGCAUUUCCAUUAUUAAGUGUAGGGACUUUUAAGUAUAAGUUUCAAGAAGAAAGUAGACCAGAUAAGGUUAAAUUUUAAGUAUUUCUAGAGAUGUAUCUUUACAAUACAAUAACAAUAUAUUAAACUAUAAUAUCAAUAUAUAAAAUAUUAAAAUGAAUAUAUAUUAAAAUUAAUGUGUGUUCUCAGGGUGUCCUCAGUUGCUCAGUUGUGUCUGACUCUCUGUGACCCCAUGGACUGCAGCCCACUAGGCUCCUCUGUCCAUAGGAUUCUUCAGGCAAGAAUACCAGAAUGGGUUGCCAUGCCCUCCUCCAGGGGAUCUUCCUGAUCCGGGGAUUGAACUCAUGUCUGCCUGCACUUCCUGUAUUGUAGGCAGAUUCCCUACGCACUGAGCCAUAGCGAGGUCAGCAGCAUUAAAAUUAAAAUAUGUUAAAGUAUCAACAUAUAUUAACACAUUACAAUUUUAAGUAUUUCUGCAGAUACGUUUUUACCCCAUAAUAUAUCUAUAUCUAUAUAUAGAGAGAGGUGUUAUGGGGAUGACGUUUAUUUUUUGCUAAAUUUCAUCAGCAUUUAAACAACAAAUCCACCUUUUUCAUGUCAGUUAGGCCAGUCACGGUUUCCCCGAGUAGACUUUGAUAGAAUUUCUCGUCACACGGAAGGAUGCAUUCUCUGAUCCUGCGUUCACCAGACUGCCUCUGUGCUGGUGGUGACCGCCGAGAAGCUCAGCGCCCAUUCCGGAUGAGAACUUUGGUGGGAAUGUGUUUCCCAGGCGCUUCACCAUCAAAUCGAGACCUGCUGUAAUUGCUUUUCAGUGGUGCCAAGUUUUACUUCUUUUUCAGUCCUCUUCUGUCAGCUUGCCACUGGGAGGACUGAACUGCAAGGAACUGCACAUAAUUUGAAAUGGGUGUGUGUUCCUACAAAAUCCUCUUGGCAGACGAAAUAUUUUUACUGCGUUCACCGUAAAGUGUAGGGAGGAAUGAACAAAUACUUUCCCAUCGUAUCUCUUGAGUCCUUGGACAGGUCAGAAAUGAAGCUUGAGUAACCACAGGUGCUCACAAAAGGAAUGCGAAAAUAUUUCUGAUGUGUUGUUCACCCAUUAUGCAAGUAUUUGCUUUAUUACAGCUAUUGAAAUACCUUCACAAAUAUUUUCUGGCAAAGCGAGCAUUUAUUUUGGAAACAUUUACUUGGCUUUGAAGGUUGCUCUUACUCAAUUGUUUGCUCAGUAGAGGGGAAAAAAUGGGAAAUGCUUUUCAAGUUAUUUGUCACAUGUACCUCUAGUACCCUCGUGAAGAAAUCUUUGGGGUUAGGCUAGUGUUAAAAUGGUUCACAAAUCAAAGAAACAUGAAAGAAAGUGAGGAAAAGCCAAUCUGAUGGCUACAGAAGAUGACAACGUGGUAGAGACUUAAGAAUUAAAAAAAAAAAAAAGAAAACACAAGAGCCCUGAAGAUGAAAACGGAAGAAAAACCAUCAGCAGAUAUGAGAGUAGUGGAAAUUAGCAACAGGAGCAGCUUCACGGGGACAAGGAAUUUCACUUUGUUCUAAGAUUCCUGAUGUUCAGGGUUCCUUCCUCAGGUGUCCGAGGUGAUCAUGGAAACUCAGUAGAUAAGGGUAUGAGGCUGGCUUUGGGUGGAUUGAAUAUAACUUUCUGCUAAACUGGAUUUAUGAACGAAGGAGAAUAUAUCGUUGACUAGAAAAAAAUGCACAACGAGAGAGUUGAGUUAAGUUUUAUUGGAGGCACAAUGAGGACUGUGGCCUGGGAUACAGCCUCUCAGGUGGCUCUGAGGAGCUGCUCCCGAGAGGGCGGGCGGAGGU